This 427-nucleotide ribosomal RNA is filed under the name uncultured bacterium. RNAcentral's name for it is "bacterial SSU rRNA". It matches the Rfam family "Bacterial small subunit ribosomal RNA", at positions 355 to 774 of the family's 1533-position model. The record is from RNAcentral.
UAGGGAAUAUUGGACAAUGGGGGCAACCCUGAUCCAGCCAUGCCGCGUGAGUGAAGAAGGCCCUCGGGUUGUAAAGCUCUUUUGUCCGGAAAGAAAAGCAUUCGGUGAAUACCCGGAUGUUCUGACGGUACCGGAAGAAUAAGCACCGGCUAACUUCGUGCCAGCAGCCGCGGUAAUACGAGGGGUGCAAGCGUUACUCGGAAUUACUGGGCGUAAAGCGUGCGUAGGUGGUUGUUUAAGUCUGAUGUGAAAGCCCUGGGCUCAACCUGGGAAUGGCAUGGGAAACUGGGCAGCUAGAGUGCGGUAGAGGGUAGUGGAAUUCCCGGUGUCGCAGUGAAAUGCGUAGAGAUCGGGAGGAACAUCUGUGGCGAAGGCGACUGCCUGGACCAGCACUGACACUGAGGCACGAAAGCGUGGGGAGCAAACA